This 256-nucleotide ribosomal RNA is filed under the name uncultured bacterium. RNAcentral's name for it is "partial 16S ribosomal RNA". It matches the Rfam family "Bacterial small subunit ribosomal RNA", at positions 524 to 777 of the family's 1533-position model. The record is from RNAcentral.
UACGUAGGGUGCAAGCGUUGUCCGGAAUUAUUGGGCGUAAAGAGCUCGUAGGCGGUCUGUCACGUCGGCUGUGAAAUCCCGAGGCUCAACCUCGGGUCUGCAGUCGAUACGGGCAAACUAGAGUAUUGCAGGGGAGACUGGAAUUCCUGGUGUAGCGGUGAAAUGCGCAGAUAUCAGGAGGAACACCGGUGGCGAAGGCGGGUCUCUGGGCAAUAACUGACGCUGAGGAGCGAAAAGCGUGGGGGAGCGAACAGGG